This 497-nucleotide ribosomal RNA is filed under the name uncultured bacterium. RNAcentral's name for it is "partial 16S ribosomal RNA". It matches the Rfam family "Bacterial small subunit ribosomal RNA", at positions 28 to 507 of the family's 1533-position model. The record is from RNAcentral.
GAUGAACGCUGGCGGCGUGCCUAAUACAUGCAAGUCGAGCGAACAGACGAGGAGCUUGCUCCUUCGACGUUAGCGGCGGACGGGCGAGUAACACGUAGGUAACCUACCUAUAAGACUGGGAUAACUUCGGGAAACCGGAGCUAAUACCGGAUAAUAUUUCGAACCGCAUGGUUCGAUAGUGAAAGAUGGCUUUGCUAUCACUUAUAGAUGGACCUGCGCCGUAUUAGCUAGUUGGUAAGGUAACGGCUUACCAAGGCAACGAUACGUAGCCGACCUGAGAGGGUGAUCGGCCACACUGGAACUGAGACACGGUCCAGACUCCUACGGGAGGCAGCAGUAGGGAAUCUUCCGCAAUGGGCGAAAGCCUGACGGAGCAACGCCGCGUGAGUGAUGAAGGUCUUCGGAUCGUAAAACUCUGUUAUUAGGGAAGAACAAACGUGUAAGUAACCGUGCACGUCUUGACGGUACCUAAUCAGAAAGCCACGGCUAACUACGUG